UGGGCUGGGGCUCAGUGGUAGAGCACUUGCCUCACAUGUAUGAGGCACUGGGUUCGAUCCUCAGCACCACAU
Molecule: non-coding RNA, 72 nt
Organism: Ictidomys tridecemlineatus (thirteen-lined ground squirrel)
Lineage: Eukaryota; Metazoa; Chordata; Mammalia; Rodentia; Sciuridae
Source: Rfam